ACCUCACAGCCUCUGAGGAUGCCUGCCAUAGAUGAGGGCGAAACGCCAGGAGAGAAUGCUCCUGAAACCUCACAGCAACCCAGUGAUUCCGGCCAUGAGAGCCUUCGACAACACUCUGAACAGGCCUUGCCCAGAAAACCUGUGAUGGGGGUCGGCAUCCGAAAUCAUGAGAAACACAAGCAGCAUCCACGCUAGGCAUGGGCAAAUCUGGGCUCUACAGGUGCUUUGGACUGCAACUCCCACCAUUCCUAACAACCCGAGGCUCUUCCUUAAGUUUAAGCGGCUGAGGGGGGAAAGGAAAGGGCCUGGGGCUGUUAGGAAUGGUGGGAGUUGCAGUCCAAAGCACCUGGAGGGGAGGGGGUGCAAGUUUGCCCAAGCCUGGUCUACAUUGGAAUGAACGCAGUCUGAUGGGACUCGGAAUUGCUCUGAUAUUGGAGAAAGGGUAAUUUACAAGGUCUGUAGCCUCCUCCUCUGUCAAAAGAGUGCUGCUGCCUCCGCAAACUACAACUCCCAGGAUCCCAUUUUGCUUAAACGACUUGAUUUCUACCCACAGAAUGAGGCUUUGACUUGCCCUUCUCUUGGCUCAGCAUGGGAACUGGUUUAAAAACGGACUGAAAAGGGGGAAAACAACUUCAGCUUAUAAAGCCCUUUUCCUGGGGCCAAGUUAAAUGUGGUUUUCGAAAGCUUGUUUUUCUCCCCUCCCCAUCCCCCCCCCCCCCAAAAAAAAACCCGGCCCGGGGCGGAGAGGACCCGACGGAGAACUUGAUGCGGGAGAGGGUCGCGAAGGAGAGGAAGGACAGGAUGGCGGCAAAAGGGAGGAGGAGGAGGAGGCGCUCCAGGCGUGGAAGGGUUUUCUGCCCCUUUAAAAAGGCAAAAAGGGGAGGGGAAGGGGGGAGACACCCCACCAGUCGGGUUAUUCUUAUUGGUAUGAGAAUGCGCAUCUCUCUCGGCGGGGAGAGAGCGAGAGAGAGAGAGAGCAAACAACCAGGAGAGGCGGGCGCGGGAUUGUGCAACCUGGGAACCUCCUGACCAAGCAGGCAGGCGCCUCCUUGCUUUGCUUUGCUUUGCAACCGGAGUCAUGCAAGCCAGGCGAGCGAGUUUCCUUCCACGCCGCCUCCCCCGGAGCCCAGCUCAGCCUUUGCGCUCGCUUCUUUCCCUUGCACCCGUGCCACCAUCCGCACGCUGCUUGCUGGCGUUGUAACGGGAUUUCCAUGCGGGGUGCGUGAGGGGCAUGUUUUGAACGCACAAUCUUCGGACUCGGCUCGGCGGGGCGGACGCUAGUUAGUUCCCCGUGCGGCUUUUUUGGCGGAGACCGAGCCACCAUCCGGCUCUUCCUUGGAGAUCAAGACGAAAAAGGGAAGGAGGACUAAAUGAGGGUGCUUCUGUUUGGGAUGUCAUUGUGCUUCGCCCACAAAUUCAGUUGUCUUGGAAGAACUGGAUCCCAUGCCUUCCCUUCUUUCCUUCCUUCCUCUCCUUGAGAUGAAAAGCAGCCCAAAGCCAACUGCUGCCUCCAUGCAAUCGAAGUCUCUGUAUAAAAGAAGAAAAAACAAAAACAAAGAGAGCAACUUUACUCAUAGUACAAUGCCAUGUCAGACCACUAGAGGGUGGUCCCUGCAUAUACUUUGAAGGGAGGACUGAGAAAGGAAGCAUCCUGGACUUGAACAUUGAAAGCUGCCCAUGCUUCCUUUGGAGAAAAGCCCCUCUGAUCUCAGUGGGCUUGGCUUCCCCAGAGAGGGAACAUGGCAAGCUCAGGCUGCAAUCUCUCCCCCCAUUCUGUGCAAUGCUUCAGUCUCGGAUUACACAAGCCAACAAGUAUUUUUCACCCGAUAUAAUUUGUAUGUUUAUUUUUUCCUCUAUCACGUGUAGUUUUUGCGAUGAGGCUAAUGGAAUAAUUAAUGCAUUUACGCACUGUUAUGAAUUAGAUUCUAUUGAUAUCAGUGCAUAAAUGCAUUAAUUAUUCGAUUAGCCUCAUCGCUAAAACUACAUGUGAUAGAGAAAAAAUAAACACACAUUUUAAUUCAAUGCAAAAAGCUCUAUAAGAAUGGCCUAAAAUUAUUGUGUUACACGAAUAUGAUGUGAAAUGUUUAGACUUUACAGUAGUCCGAUGUAAUGUACCAUUGGUCAUAUUUUUAAAAGUUGACAUGAUGGGAAAAAAUAAAGACAUGUUUAAAAUCGCUUCUCGGCCUUUUGGCUAAGAUCAAGUGUAAAAUCAGCAUAAACAUUGAUUUAAACUCUGCUACUCUCAUUUCUGAUGAUUAAAAAAAGUUUUAUUUUGUUGGCUUGUGUUAUUAAAAAGAACAAGAUUGGUCCUAUAUGCUUUGGAAACAACACUCUGUGAUGUUUGUUUUGCUGUUUGCCCCUGUUCAUAAGAUGUCACCUCGCUUUCUGUCCCUGUGAUAAUUGGAUUUUGGGAAAAAUUGCUUGUUGUGGAAACAAGGAUUGGUGAUAAAGCUUCAGCAGAGACACCUUUUCCCUAUGAUAACUCUUCCAGGAGUGAAUUUCCCUUUGAAGGAGUAGAUUUCUCCCACUUCCUGUUGUCUCACCCCUGUUCUUAAGUAUGAGUUGUUUGUAAGUCAGUUGUUUGUAGCUCGGGGACUGUCUCUAUAAAUACACAUAUUACACAUACACAUACCCCUGUAUAGUUAUGUAUCAGUCUAGAAAUGUUAGUUUAAAAAUCAGUCCAAAAAUCUGAGUUGACUUACCUAUGGAUCAAUGUGAGUACUGUACCUUACUUAACUCUUAUCCAAAUAGGAGCCAUAUCUGAGUAAAGUGGCAAACACCCAGAAAGAACCUAAAAGAAACACUGAAUGCCUCAAUUUUCUCUAUUUUGACUUUUUUUAAUGCAAAGACCGAACCCUGGAGAAGGCAUUGGUGCUUUCUCAUCUCUGCAGAAUAACCCUCGACUUAUUCAUAAUUUUGGUCCUAAAAUCUGCCCUCAAUUUAAACAUGAGGUCAACUUAUACAUGAGUAUAUACUAGAUAUGAGCAAACUUUGGCCCUCCAUGUGUUUUGGAUUUCAACUCCCACAAUUCCUCAAAGCCUGCUGGCUGUUAAAAUUGUGCGAGUUGAAGUCCAAAAUGCCUGGAGGCCGAAGUUUGCCCAUACCUGGCAUAUACAGUAUUUUUCCAACAUCAUCAUCAUUAUUAUUAUUAUUAUUUGUAGACUGCCUUAUCUCCCCAAAGGGACUCAGGGUGGUUUCCAACAUGUAUGGCAAACAUUCAAUGCCAAAAGUAUAUAAUUUGCAAGUCAAUAUUUUUUUUUGUACAUCACAUUUUACCUUCAAUAUAUCUAUUAAAAUUUCUCUUAUCCACUCCCACCUAAAAACAAUAAGCAUAAUAUUUUUAAAGAAUUAACAUGGAUUUCCCACUUUAUAGAAGUAUUGUUAUCCUGCUCGCUACUAAUCUUAACCAAAUCCUUUAUUCUACUUUUCUAUGUCAAUAUACAGUAUUACUUAAUUUUCAAAACCUGCAAGCAUUUUUUUACUUUAUAAAUGAUACAAAUGGUUCCCGUUCUUUUGAAAAAAUUCCAGUUGAUUUCUCCUUUAUCAAACAAGAUAACUGGUCCAUUUCUGCCAUUUCAAGAACUUUUAUAAUCCAGAUUAUUUUUCAUGUUUGAGCAUAAAAGGGCAUUUUGAAAGCCCACGGAAACACAAUACACUCUUAACAAAUCCGCAAAUGGACUCUCCUUAGAUCUGGAUAAAUGAAGAUGGAAUCUUGUAGCCUUCUGUUGAUUGCCGGUUUCAUUGCCUUUGCUUUAAAAUACAUUCUUUUAAGGCAGGAAAGUAUUUUAAAUCAGUCCUGUAGCCAAGACAAUGCAAACCAUAUGGGUUUACAUAAAAGCAUGGGACAUAUGCAGCCAAUAAUAAACAAGCUUCAUUCUUUCCA
Anolis carolinensis (green anole) is the source of this 3883-nucleotide long non-coding RNA. RefSeq lists it as uncharacterized. The record is from RefSeq and is a predicted model, not a curated record. The transcript has 2 exons. NCBI's taxonomy places the organism in Eukaryota, Metazoa, Chordata, Lepidosauria, Squamata, Anolidae.